RNAcentral lists this ribosomal RNA (404 nucleotides) under uncultured bacterium. RNAcentral describes it as "partial 16S ribosomal RNA". It matches the Rfam family "Bacterial small subunit ribosomal RNA", at positions 28 to 526 of the family's 1533-position model. The record is from RNAcentral.
GACGAACGCUGGCGGCGUGCCUAAUACAUGCAAGUCGAACGCAGUUGGGCCGGGUGAGUAACACGUGGGUAAGCUGCCCAUCAGAGGGGAUACCACUUGGAAACAGGUACUAAACCGAUACUGAUGGAUGGACCCGGGGUGCAUUCGCUAGUUGGUGGGGGAACGGCUCACCAAGGCCACGAUGCAUAGCGGACCUGAGAGGGUGAUCGGCCACACUGGGACUGAGACACGGCCCAGACUCCUACGGGAGGCAGCAGUAGGGAAUCUUCGGCAAUGGACGAAAGUCUGAUGGAGCAAUGCCGCGUGAGUGAAGAAGGUUUUCGGAUUGUAAAACUCUGUUGUUAGAGAAGCGGUAUCUAACCAGAAAGCCACGGCUAACUACGUGCCAGCAGCCGCGGUAAUUC